Molecule: long non-coding RNA, 470 nt
Organism: Notolabrus celidotus (New Zealand spotty)
Lineage: Eukaryota; Metazoa; Chordata; Actinopteri; Labriformes; Labridae
Exons: 3
Source: RefSeq, a predicted model, not a curated record
AGCAGCUGCCGCAGUGAUGAAUGGAGAGGGAGAGCAGUUUGUGGUUUUGCAGUUUUGGCAAACUUCUGCAGAGAACUCGCUGUGUGGGCGUCAGUCAAGGGAGUUUGCAGGAUGGUUUAUGGGAGGCUAAGGCCUGCUCCAGCCGCUCCUUUUCCUUCAGCAGGUCGUCUAUCUCUGUCUGGAGGUCGGACUUCUCCUCUUCAAGCUGGUCAGUCUCCUGAGGUGAGGAGGAAGAAAAUCGGAGAAAAGAGAUUUGGGCUUUGCCUUGUUUGCUCCUGCCAAGGAAGACGACUGGUUCUUGCUCUGACUUCUGCUUUUUGCACGGCUGGAAGGAGAGACAGAUGUGAUGACUGUCGGCUGCACCAUCCACUUCAGAUCCGGCGAGGUUGAGAUUGCAGUCACAGUCGGAACAAAGGAGUCUGCUACACUGGUCUCAAUGUCCUGGUGAGAAUAAACAUCAGAGAAACAAA